UUCCAUGAUGAAACGGCACUGGGCUCCGAAUACAUCGCAUGAGCAAGAGAAGCCAAUUUGUGGCAGGCCUAGAAAACCUCGCCCACUGAUC
This 91-nucleotide small nucleolar RNA is filed under the name Ophiocordyceps sinensis. RNAcentral describes it as "A. fumigatus snoRNA Afu_513". It matches the Rfam family "A. fumigatus snoRNA Afu_513". RNAcentral also lists the same sequence under 1 other name. Lineage: Eukaryota; Fungi; Ascomycota; Sordariomycetes; Hypocreales; Ophiocordycipitaceae. The record is from Rfam by way of RNAcentral.